Molecule: non-coding RNA, 26 nt
Filed under: Homo sapiens (human)
Lineage: Eukaryota; Metazoa; Chordata; Mammalia; Primates; Hominidae
Source: RNAcentral
UGAUCAAAGGGCUUACAGAACCGGAG